UAAGACCUAGCGUUGAUGGAGCGGCCSAUAUCUGAUUAGCUAGUUGGUGSBYAAAGSCCUACCAAGGCGACGAUCAGUAGCUGGUCUGAGAGGACGACCAGCCACACUGGAACUGAGACACGGUCCAGACUCCUACGGGASGCAGCAGUGGSGAAUUUUGGACAAUGGGSGCAACCCUGAUCCAGCCAUUCCGCGUGAGUGAAGAAGGCCUUCGGGUUGUAAAGCUCUUUCGCAAGGGAAGAAMACUUAUUCUCUAACAUAGGAUAAGGCUGACGGUACCUUGAUAAGAAGCACCGGCUAACUACGUGCCAGCAGCCGCGGUAAUACGUAGGGUGCGAGCGUUAAUCGGAAUUACUGGGCGUAAAGCGUGCGCAGGCGGUUUUSAAASUCAGAUSUGAAAUCCCCGGGCUCAMCCUGGGAACY
RNAcentral lists this ribosomal RNA (423 nucleotides) under uncultured bacterium. RNAcentral describes it as "partial 16S ribosomal RNA". It matches the Rfam family "Bacterial small subunit ribosomal RNA", at positions 202 to 622 of the family's 1533-position model. The record is from RNAcentral.